This is a long non-coding RNA of Biomphalaria glabrata, 2931 nucleotides long. RefSeq lists it as uncharacterized. The record is from RefSeq and is a predicted model, not a curated record. Lineage: Eukaryota; Metazoa; Mollusca; Gastropoda; Planorbidae. The transcript is spliced from 6 exons.
UAAACUGUGAAUUGCCUCUUACUUUAAAAUUUAGCUCUAGCUGGAUAACUUUGUGCAAUAAAAAAAUUAUGUUUAGAUUUUGGAAAUUAUAAUUUAUGUGCUAGGUCUACAUCUUAAAUUCACUAUAUACUUGUAGAACUAUUGCUUGGAAUCUAAUUGCAAGUUUCUACUGUCGACUGUCAUACUAGAUAUGGUGAUGAUUAUGGUCUUAUGGCUGCAUUAGAACCUUGGUCAGGCAACUAUAAUGUUUGCCCCCCUCCCUCCCUUCAUAUGGAAAGCAGCACAUACAACUCAAUUUACUUCUAUUGGCUGGAAAUAUUUAAAGCAUGACAGUGGCGUAGGUAAAUUACCAAAUAGUGGAUCUUAUGUUGGAUUGAUCAGCCCUGAUGAACUGACCUGACCAUUGUAAUUGAAACCAUAACUCAUGACCACUCUAUCUGUAUAGGUCCUGGUAUACCCUGGGAUGAUGUUCACCCACAACUUUUAACUUGAAAUCUUAAAGGAAGUUUUGCUAAACUAACAAGCAUGAAUGUCUGGUACAGUAAGAUAGGGUUAAUGGUCAUCCUGACAUUAUGGUUCAUUCAUUGGGACAGCUAAUGUUUGUGUCUGACCAAGCAGUUCUCAAGUUAGGGCUUGAUGAAGUCUAUAAACUGACCACUAUAUCUACUGGACAAAAAGGAUCAUAUUCUGACCCCCUCCCUCCCAACCAUUUCGUCUGCCUUAUCUUGAUGACUUUGAAGGGUACAAAUGCACUUGGAGCUUUUGAUGGUGUUCUGUUCAAUGCAACAAUUCCCUCAUCUCCAGCAGCUGGCUUUGCAGCUAUUGGCGCAGACAGCUAUGGCUUGGAUGAUUUUGAUAAUUAUCUGCUUCCGCUCUUCAAAACUCAAACGCACGUCUGCCAUGUUGCAGUUAAUUCCUUGCCACUCUGGUACUGUGUGUGGUACAGAACCACCUUCUCAUUUAUUUUUCUAAUUAGACAUUAAGCUUUCCAUGUGCUGAAAUUUAGCAUUGUAGAACGGGAAAUAAAUUGUCUAUGACAGUUCAAAGUGUGUAUACAUUUUUUUGACGCACCCUGUAUAUAUAUUGUAUUCAGUGAUUUUUUUAUUUUACCAUUUUCUAAUAUUAGCUCAAUAACUAUUAACCUUUUAGAUUGUUAUCUUUCGUAAUGUUAAGACUAGAAAACAAGAUCUCAAAAUUAUAUUUAGGACGAUGAUUACAAUUACUUAGUCAAUUACUUAGAUAAAAUAAUUAUAAAACAAAAAUUAUAUAAAGACAUAAUUAUACAAUGUUUAUGUUUUGUAUGUUCAUAAAAAUGUGUAUAGCAGUGUUAUGGAGUGUGUGUGUGGGUGUUUCAACGGUAACGUUGAGAAAUUAGCGAUUGGUUGGUGGAUAUGCAGUGAGGAUGGUGAAAUUACAAAAAUGGUCUAGUGUAAUGCAAAUUACCCAGGGAUCUGAAACUGUACAGACAGGUUUUUUGUAGUGAGUUAGAUUUUGUUUAAAAUACCAUUUUAUAUUAUUGCUACUAGACUUAUUUCAUUUCAUCUAGGUUAGUAUUAGGGUUAGUGUUAUGUUGUAAUAAAAGUUAUAUUUAGUUUUGUUUCAAAAAAGAUGUUUUUUCAAGUUUCACAAUUAAAUAUAUAUAUAUAUAUAUCCAAGCAGUAGUUCUCACCAAACUUUCAUACGCUGGCAGAACUACCUUAAAAAAUGUUCUGCUGGAGGCUGGUGUGGGUAGUAUAGAAGAAAUACUUAUCAUUCAACAGCUGUGAUGGGUUGGAAAAUUAUCCCACAUGUGGGGCGACUGCAUGCCAAAUGGUAUUUUCAAGGAUGGCGUAACGGGGUGCCCCUGUAAGCACUAUAAAGUUUAACUCAGGCACCUUUUUGCCAUAGAGGAAAGUAGGUUGUAAUAGGGUUUAUGAAAACACUGCACUCAACCUUUAUCUUCAGCAUCAUUAUUAUUAUUAAACCAUUACUCAAAUUUUGCUUUGUUAUUUUGCCAUGUAGAGAUUUACUGCUGCUGGGGUGAGCAAUGCUUAAAAAAAUACAAAUAUGCUGUGUUUUUACUUUGGCCCAGCGGUGGCUCCCACAUUUAUGUCUUGUAUUUUUCUAUACCAGUUCUGUUACUAUGCAAAUGCAAAAAAAAAUGCAAGUUGUUGCACUAUUGAUAUUUUUUAUACUAAUUUUUUAUUUAUAUUAUUAAUUAUUUAUUAUUAUCUAAGCAUCUGUUUGUAUUUGAGCUGGGUAAUGAAUAUAGAUUCUUAAAUUUAAUUGUUGUUUGUUGCUUUACUCACUUUUAAACUGUGACCAUGUAAAUUUUGUCUAGAUGGAGAAUGGUAAUGUCUUAGUGUUAAUGAUUAGAUUGAGAAUGUUAAUGUCUUAGUGUCAAUGAUAACAGUGAGAAUGGUAAUGUCUUAGUGUCAAUGAUAACAGUGAGAAUGGUAAUGUCGUAGUGCCAAUGAUAACAGUGAGAAUGGUAAUGUCUAGUGUCUCUGAUUAGAUUGAGAAUGGUAAUGUCUUAGUGUUAUUGAUUAGAUUAAGAAUAGUAAUGUCUUAGUGCCAAUGAUAACAGUGAGACAAUCAUUAGAUUGAGGAUGGUAAUGUCUUAGUGUCAAUGGUGUAACACUAUGAUUAGAGUGAGAUGGACGAGAUGAUUUCAGUUCACGUGAAAAUGGGUCUUACACAUUGUCAAGCAAAGAGGUACCAUUUUUGAUCACACGACCACGUUUUUUUUUUGUAAGUUAGCGCCAUGAUGUAUCAAGAGACGGAGGUGUCUCUGUUUUAUGAAAUUGGAUUAAAUAAUAUGAGUACCUAAUUGGACAUUUUUCUAUGGAUGUAGUUUGUAUUUGAUGUGAAAUAAUUCGCGAUGAUAUUUUAUGGCUGAGAUUGCCUACUUUCUGAACUAUUAUUUGAUGUAAUAAAUAUUUGUCUGCCAGA